Molecule: small RNA, 5436 nt
Filed under: Arabidopsis thaliana (thale cress)
Lineage: Eukaryota; Viridiplantae; Streptophyta; Magnoliopsida; Brassicales; Brassicaceae
Description: ATSL052440
Source: RNAcentral
UUGAUAAUAAUUAAUAAAAAAAUUGUUGAGAUAAAGAAGAUGAACCCAAGAACAAAGAAUUAUUGAGAACGGACAUUGCUGCUGAAGAAGUGUUGAUCUUGUUUUUGUACCAAGUUUGGAGCCAAAACAAGCAUUGCUCGUGUAAGUAAUGAAGUUCUUUUAAGAAGUUUUUUGUUAUGUCAUAUUAGGAUCUUGAUUGUGUUCGAACUCCAUUUUUUUAUCAGAAAAUUUGCAAAAUCUAUAUUUGUUUGUUUAAAAUAGUCAAAUGAUAAUUGGUAUUUAGGUUUAUAAAUGUGUAGUAUCGACAUUCCAUUUGUUUUUUAUAUGUAUAGUAUUUUUCAGUUGCAUUUAAUGUGUGUCUCCUGAAUUUAUGAUGCAGGUGGGUUAUGGAUAUUCCCGUAUUUACUAUGGUCGGUGAGUGGAAAUGCAAAGAAGGAGAAUGGAAAUUUGAACCUAAGGAAGGCAUCUUUGGUCGUUGUGUACGCGUUCAGGAAACCAUGACGUACACGGACUUUGUCCGUACACUCCGAGAGGCUUUCAGUUUGAAGUCCACCGAGAUCAAUCCCAUAAUUAGCUACUGGAUGCUGGGAGAAAUGUCAGUGCUGAUAGAUACUAAACACCCUCCUGUAUACAUUGACAGUCAGAUGGGUCUCGAAACGUUUUUUUUUGGUUCGUGGUGGGUAUCUUUCUCUCAACUUGUUCGUCUCUUUCAAUAAUACAGUGAAGGCGUUCGGGAAUACUGUCUCUAGGUCUCAUGGUGAAGUUUCUGAAAGUGACCGUGUGUUUGAUAGUGCUACAAAUGUUGAUGAAAAUAAUGAGGAUGCAGAGGAGCAAGCCGAUGUUGAAGACGAUACAACAGAAGAGGAUGAAGUGGAGGAGGGCAACGAAGAUGAUGAUGGGUGUGAUGAUUAUCUUGGUGUGGAUGGAUCUAUUGGGGGAAGUACCCUGUAUCCUACCACAGACGGUAGUGAAGGUAUUGGCGAAAAAUACGAUUACAACAAGUGGAACGAUGUAAUAGUAGAAGAAUAUGUACAAGGAAAUCUUGAGGAAGACGUCAGUCUCACUCAACAGACUGCUCAACAUCCAGGGGAAUUCAGUCGUUUAUUGGAAACGUGUACGUACACGGGUGUUAGUGUACCUGGCGGAGAUACAGGGGAAUUCAGUCGUCUCUUGGAAACGUGUACGUACACUGGUCUUAAUGUACCUGACAAAGAAACAAUUUCUCCAUUGGGUUACGGUACACGCUGCGAAGGGCAAAGGGAUUCCAAUCUUAUUUGUAUAGACGAAGUCACCGGGGAUGAAGUGAUCGACGGUAUUGGAGCUUCCUCAACUGGGACACUGAAUGAUAAUGGUGUAGUUACCGCAGCUGAGGCUUACCAAGUGUAUAAUGAAUUUCCUAAGUUACAUGGUGGCGAGUUGGCGAAUCUCGGUAACGAUGCUGCUCCUGUGUUCGAUGACUUACUCAAUUUUUGAGCUGAUGAGACACAGGUUGAAAUCAGCACCACAGGCGAAACUUUGUUUGUUGGAAGUGUUUUUAAGAAUAGAAAAGUCUUGCAACAAACAAUGUCUCUUCAAGCGAUAAAGCAAUGCUUUUGCUUCAAGCAACCUCAGUCAUGUCCUAAAACAUUGAAGAUGGUGUGCGUUGAUGAGACUUGUCCAUGGCAAUUGACUGCUCGCGUCGUGAAGGAUUCAGAAAGUUUCAAAAUCACUUCGUAUGCUACGACACAUACGUGUAACAUCGACUCUCGGAAGAACUACAAUAAACAUGCUAAUUAUAAGUUCCUCGGGGAAGUUGUGAGGAGCAGAUACAGUUCUACGCAGGGUGGGCCGCGAGCUGUCGAUUUACCACAGCUGCUCCUAAAUGAUCUGAAUGUGCGGAUUUCAUAUUCUACCGCUUGGAGAGCAAAAGAGGUUGCAGUGGAAAAUGUAAGGGGGGAUGAGAUAGCAAAUUACAGGUUUUUGCCGACCUAUCUGUAUCUUCUCCAAUUAGCUAAUCCGGGUACAAUAACACACCUACACUAUACACCAGAAGAUGAUGGUAAACAGCGCUUCAAGUAUGUCUUUGUCUCUCUUGGCGCUUCUAUCAAAGGUCUGAUAUAUAUGAGGAAGGUAGUUGUGGUAGAUGGAACGCAGCUAGUCGGACCUUACAAAGGAUGUCUCCUUAUUGUAUGUGCCCAAGAUGGGAACUUCCAAAUAUUCCCAAUAGCUUUUGGUGUUGUUGAUGGUGAGACCGAUGCUUCUUGGGCAUGGUUUUUUGAAAAGUUAGCUGAGAUUGUUCAAGACAGUGACGAUUUAUUGAUUGUCUCGGACAGACAUUCAUCUAUAUACAAAGGCCUAAGUGUUGUUUACCCGAGAGCGCAUCAUGGAGCAUGUGCUGUUCACCUUGAGCGAAACCUCUCCACCUAUUAUGGUAAGUUUGGUGUGUCUGCUUUAUUUUUCAGCGCUGCCAAAGCUUAUAGGGUCAGGGAUUUCGAGAAAUAUUUUGAACUGUUAAGGGAAAAGAGUGCUAAAUGCGAAAAAUACCUAGAGGACAUAGGAUUUGAGCAUUGGACAAGAGCUCACUGUAGAGGAGAACGCUACAAUAUCAUGUCUGGCAACAACUCUGAGUCCAUGAAUCAUGUGUUAACAAAAGCAAAAAAUUAUCCGAUUGUUUACAUGAUCGAGUUCAUUCGGGAUGUCCUAAUGCGAUGGUUCGCAUCGAGGAGGAAGAAAGAUGCUAGGUGAAGAGCUGUAGAAACAAGCCGCCCAUAUAAUCAUACCCAGCAUAUAGAAUACAAUGGCGCAUGCAAGUGUUGCAUUUGCUCGUACUAGAGCAUGACGCUGUAAGAGCCUGAUGGCUCCAUUGAUGUUUCGAUCAUUCGUUAGAACACGAAUACCUUCGUAAUACACGGCCGUGGGAUUAUUAGCUGCAAAACACCGUAAGAAAAAUGGUCGAUGUCGGCCUUCAUCAGCGGAUCCGGAGGGAUUGUGGCCCCCUCCAGCUUGGAAGUCAUCGGGCGAGUUACACAAGGUGAGAAUAUUGGCAUCUUUGAGGACAUCCGGACGGUAGACAAUGUCUCUUCCACGGGUGCCGGAUCGUACCAGUGGACCAAGGUUGGACCAGCAUUGGUCAGCCAGGUUCUUAGCUAUCUUCGAGAGUAAAUCGUCGAGAAGAGUCGGGUUAACCAUGUUUGAUAUGAGAUAGUCAGAGAUCGUCAGUAAUUUCUUCACUUUAAUAACCACUACUGUGAAUUUGGUUGGGGCAAUUACGGUUGAAAUGAAUGUCAUACUUGUGUUGGUAAGCGUUGGCUGUCAAAUCAAUUUAUCACUUGAGUUAUGUUAUAAAGUUAAUAUACAGUGUACGAGACAUAUCGAUAUGUACGUACACAUUUACAUUAUGUAAUUAGAAGUGAACGAUGUGUACGACAAUAUGAUAGAGGACACUAAAUUAACUUCUGACAAUCUCCAAAUUAAAUGUAGUUGCAAUCAUAUAUCUAAGAUAGGUUUGUUCAUAAUAAUUGGUUGCAAAGAACAAGAAUAUUGUUCUUGGACGAUUAAAGCAAGUGCACAGUACCGGCCUCCCGCUUGUCGUGCUCGUAGAUGUCAACCGAGUAUUUCUGACGGUAGAAGACCAUAUCUACUUCUCGAAUGGUUAUCAAUUCCGAAAAAGGGUGUCCAAACGCAAGCAACUCCAAGAACUUCAUCGUGUAUGGCCCGCAAUCUCCUGUAGUUGGGUUUUGAGCAACGGUAGGACAACGCACAUACUCAAAAGGUUCAACUGAGUACGGAGAAAUCAUUACAUCCUAGCACAUCGCUCUGACUAAGUACGACAUCAUUUCGCAAAUAGGAGUCAUUCUCGCCUUCACAGCCGACUCACGCGUGUGCGAUAUUAAAGCGUCAUACACAGUUAUUAGCCGUUCAUUAAGGUUGAUUCCCAAAGCAACCCAAUGUUCACUCUUCCAGUUCAUCGGAGCAUACACAACAUCGACAUCCUUCAGCCACUUCAUAUUGGGUUCACGGUUUAUGUGAACUCCAUUAGCAAUGUCGGACAGUAAUUUACCCCAUUUGAACCCGUUCUUAUUGAUACACUUCUUGAAGUCGCCCACCCGCUUGGUAAGUAGAUGCGUCAGCAUCAUGUCCAAUACAAUACAUCUGUUUGCUAUCAUCUGUUCCCCGUUCUUGUGCCACAUCAACAUUGCCAUCAUUUCUAAAUGCUGAAAUGUUCAAAAAAUAUAUCAGUGUACGUACACUUCCACGAAAAAUUUAAUCAUCUAUGUACAAUUUAUAACAAGGAAUGUACGUAUAUAAAUGCAACAUACCGAACUUUCGACCCAUUCACCAGGUGUUAGAAGGUUCGCAAAAAACUCGUUGGGCACUUUGCGAAACCCGAAAAGAGUGUGAAUCCUGUAAAUCCAGAAAAAUAUUUGAUAACAACCUUAAGACUUGGAAAAAUGAUGAUUGAGAUAUUAAAAUAAUCCAUUUUAAUAUAAUGUACUUACACAGAGGGUCCUUUAAUGAUAUUGCUGAAUUCCUCUACUUUUGAAAGGUCAACCAUGUCCAAGGGGUUGUAUGAGACAUUUCCAGCCCUGAUAACAACCUCUAUCUGUUGAGUUGGUACAUCGGGCACCAAGACUGUUUUUGCCUUAAAACCAUGAGGAUGGGCAUCAUCCUGUUCAUAGACAAGUUGCUUCUUCACUUUUUUUGGGACCUUUGGAGACGUUUUUUUUUCUUCUUUUGCUUCGACAGCAGCAGCAUUGUCUGAUUCAUCCUGUUAACAAAUAUGAUUGUCAACAACAGUUUCAUACGUUUUUCUAUGUUUAAAAUAGGUACAUACAUUAUUUUUAGGAAUAUCGGUCUUGUCUGCUUCAUCUGACCCUGGGUUAGGAUCCUCAGUUCCUACAGACCCCUCAACAAUACCGUGCUCUUCCAUGACUACCUGUGCAAGUUAACGUACACAAGUCUAUAUAAUGUACACAUAUAAUCCUAUGUAUGCUAUUUCGAAAAUAGGAAUUGAAACACACAAAUUGUUACCUCCACAUCAGUAGCUGCAGCCAAAUCACCAACGGCUUUAGUAUCCAACUCCCGUAUGACCUGCAUAAUAUAAAUUUUAUACAUUUGAACAGUAAAUAGUACAUUUUAUUUGUUGCAAGAAUUAGCUUACAUUGUUAACUACUUGAAAUGGUGACGGGGGAUCACUGUGGGUCUUCUCAGGUAUUUCAACUUCCAUCCCUGUCACUAAUUUGGAUUCUCCUGCCGCCUCAACCUGUAGAAUUUAUCAUCGGAAAGAAACUUUUUAGUAAUGUAUGAAACAAUAUAUAUGUACACAGAAUAUAGUGACAAAAAUGUACGUACACUUGUGCCAGGUACGUGAGCUGUAUCUCCAUCAGAAGGCUCAUAAGUGUCUUCUGACUCGCUGCCAUUAGCUUCAGUCGAUGCACUGGCAUCUCUUGCUUCCCU